This 101-nucleotide transfer RNA is filed under the name Neolecta irregularis DAH-3. It matches the Rfam family "tRNA". Rfam says of the family: Transfer RNA (tRNA) molecules are approximately 80 nucleotides in length. The record is from Rfam by way of RNAcentral. Lineage: Eukaryota; Fungi; Ascomycota; Neolectomycetes; Neolectales; Neolectaceae.
GCUUCCGUAGUAUAGUGGUUAUUAUAUUCGGCUGUUAAGCCCAUCUGAUGACAGAUGAACCUGAUACCGAAGGGUCGGUGGUUCGAACCCACCCGGGAGCG